This 73-nucleotide transfer RNA is filed under the name Aedes aegypti (yellow fever mosquito). RNAcentral describes it as "partial tRNA-OTHER". It matches the Rfam family "tRNA". Rfam says of the family: Transfer RNA (tRNA) molecules are approximately 80 nucleotides in length. Their secondary structure includes four short double-helical elements and three loops (D, anti-codon, and T loops). The record is from RNAcentral. Lineage: Eukaryota; Metazoa; Arthropoda; Insecta; Diptera; Culicidae.
GUCUGGGUAGUUUAGGUGGAAAAGCUCUUGUAUAGCACACAAGAGUCCUGGGUUCAAAUCCCAGCCGAGUACG